UACGUAGGGUGCAAGCGUUAAUCGGAAUUACUGGGCGUAAAGCGUGCGCAGGCGGUUCUAUAAGACAGAUGUGAAAUCCCCGGGCUCAACCUGGGAACUGCAUUUGUGACUGUAGAGCUGGAGUGCGGCAGAAGGGGAUGGAAUUCCGCGUGUAGCAGUGAAAUGCGUAGAUAUGCGGAGGAACACCGAUGGCGAAGGCAAUCCCCUGGGCCUGCACUGACGCUCCAUGCACGAAAGCGUGGGGAGCAAACAGG
RNAcentral lists this ribosomal RNA (254 nucleotides) under uncultured bacterium. Its description in RNAcentral is "partial 16S ribosomal RNA". It matches the Rfam family "Bacterial small subunit ribosomal RNA", at positions 524 to 776 of the family's 1533-position model. The record is from RNAcentral.